RNAcentral lists this ribosomal RNA (253 nucleotides) under uncultured bacterium. RNAcentral's name for it is "partial 16S ribosomal RNA". It matches the Rfam family "Bacterial small subunit ribosomal RNA", at positions 524 to 776 of the family's 1533-position model. The record is from RNAcentral.
UACGUAGGGUGCAGGCGUUAAUCGGAAUUACUGGGCGUAAAGCGUGCGCAGGCGGUUUCUUAAGACAGUUGUGAAAUCCCCGGGCUCAACCUGGGAACUGCAUCUGUGACUGCAUCGCUGGAGUGCGGCAGAGGGGGAUGGAAUUCCGCGUGUAGCAGUGAAAUGCGUAGAUAUGCGGAGGAACACCGAUGGCGAAGGCAAUCCCCUGGGCCUGCACUGACGCUCAUGCACGAAAGCGUGGGGAGCAAACAGG